RNAcentral lists this ribosomal RNA (1115 nucleotides) under Campylobacter jejuni. RNAcentral describes it as "partial 23S ribosomal RNA". It matches the Rfam family "Bacterial large subunit ribosomal RNA", at positions 614 to 1731 of the family's 2925-position model. Lineage: Bacteria; Pseudomonadati; Campylobacterota; Epsilonproteobacteria; Campylobacterales; Campylobacteraceae. The record is from RNAcentral.
AAUGAGCCUGCGAGUUGUGGUGUCUGGCAAGGUUAAGCAAACGCGAAGCCGUAGCGAAAGCGAGUCUGAAUAGGGCGCUUAGUCAGAUGCUGCAGACCCGAAACGAAGUGAUCUAUCCAUGAGCAAGUUGAAGCUAGUGUAAGAACUAGUGGAGGACUGAACCCAUAGGCGUUGAAAAGCCCCGGGAUGACUUGUGGAUAGGGGUGAAAGGCCAAUCAAACUUCGUGAUAGCUGGUUCUCUCCGAAAUAUAUUUAGGUAUAGCGUUGUGUCGUAAUAUAAGGGGGUAGAGCACUGAAUGGGCUAGGGCAUACACCAAUGUACCAAACCCUAUCAAACUCCGAAUACCUUAUAUGUAAUCACAGCAGUCAGGCGGCGAGUGAUAAAAUCCGUCGUCAAGAGGGAAACAACCCAGACUACCAGCUAAGGUCCCUAAAUCUUACUUAAGUGGAAAACGAUGUGAAGUUACUUAAACAACCAGGAGGUUGGCUUAGAAGCAGCCAUCCUUUAAAGAAAGCGUAAUAGCUCACUGGUCUAGUGAUUUUGCGCGGAAAAUAUAACGGGGCUAAAGUAAGUACCGAAGCUGUAGACUUAGUUUACUAAGUGGUAGGAGAGCGUUCUAUUUGCGUCGAAGGUAUACCGGUAAGGAGUGCUGGAGCGAAUAGAAGUGAGCAUGCAGGCAUGAGUAGCGAUAAUUAAUGUGAGAAUCAUUAACGCCGUAAACCCAAGGUUUCCUACGCGAUGCUCGUCAUCGUAGGGUUAGUCGGGUCCUAAGUCGAGUCCGAAAGGGGUAGACGAUGGCAAAUUGGUUAAUAUUCCAAUACCAACAUUAGUGUGCGAUGGAAGGACGCUUAGGGCUAAGGGGGCUAGCGGAUGGAAGUGCUAGUCUAAGGUCGUAGGAGGUUAUACAGGCAAAUCCGUAUAACAAUACUCCGAGAACUGAAAGGCUUUUUGAAGUCUUCGGAUGGAUAGAAGAACCCCUGAUGCCGUCGAGCCAAGAAAAGUUUCUAAGUUUAGCUAAUGUUGCCCGUACCGUAAACCGACACAGGUGGGUGGGAUGAGUAUUCUAAGGCGCGUGGAAGAACUCUCUUUAAGGAACUCUGCAAAAUAGCACCGU